GCAGUCGAACGAACUCUGGUAUUGAUUGGUGCUUGCAUCAUGAUUUACAUUUGAGUGAGUGGCGAACUGGUGAGUAACACGUGGGAAACCUGCCCAGAAGCGGGGGAUAACACCUGGAAACAGAUGCUAAUACCGCAUAACAACUUGGACCGCAUGGUCCGAGUUUGAAAGAUGGCUUCGGCUAUCACUUUUGGAUGGUCCCGCGGCGUAUUAGCUAGAUGGUGGGGUAACGGCUCACCAUGGCAAUGAUACGUAGCCGACCUGAGAGGGUAAUCGGCCACAUUGGGACUGAGACACGGCCCAAACUCCUACGGGAGGCAGCAGUAGGGAAUCUUCCACAAUGGACGAAAGUCUGAUGGAGCAACGCCGCGUGAGUGAAGAAGGGUUUCGGCUCGUAAAACUCUGUUGUUAAAGAAGAACAUAUCUGAGAGUAACUGUUCAGGUAUUGACGGUAUUUAACCAGAAAGCCACGGCUAACUACGUGCCAGCAGCCGCGGUAAUACGUAGGUGGCAAGCGUUGUCCGGAUUUAUUGGGCGUAAAGCGAGCGCAGGCGGUUUUUUAAGUCUGAUGUGAAAGCCUUCGGCUCAACCGAAGAAGUGCAUCGGAAACUGGGAAACUUGAGUGCAGAAGAGGACAGUGGAACUCCAUGUGUAGCGGUGAAAUGCGUAGAUAUAUGGAAGAACACCAGUGGCGAAGGCGGCUGUCUGGUCUGUAACUGACGCUGAGGCUCGAAAGUAUGGGUAGCAAACAGGAUUAGAUACCCUGGUAGUCCAUACCGUAAACGAUGAAUGCUAAGUGUUGGAGGGUUUCCGCCCUUCAGUGCUGCAGCUAACGCAUUAAGCAUUCCGCCUGGGGAGUACGGCCGCAAGGCUGAAACUCAAAGGAAUUGACGGGGGCCCGCACAAGCGGUGGAGCAUGUGGUUUAAUUCGAAGCUACGCGAAGAACCUUACCAGGUCUUGACAUACUAUGCAAAUCUAAGAGAUUAGACGUUCCCUUCGGGGACAUGGAUACAGGUGGUGCAUGGUUGUCGUCAGCUCGUGUCGUGAGAUGUUGGGUUAAGUCCCGCAACGAGCGCAACCCUUAUUAUCAGUUGCCAGCAUUAAGUUGGGCACUCUGGUGAGACUGCCGGUGACAAACCGGAGGAAGGUGGGGAUGACGUCAAAUCAUCAUGCCCCUUAUGACCUGGGCUACACACGUGCUACAAUGGAUGGUACAACGAGUUGCGAACUCGCGAGAGUAAGCUAAUCUCUUAAAGCCAUUCUCAGUUCGGAUUGUAGGCUGCAACUCGCCUACAUGAAGUCGGAAUCGCUAGUAAUCGCGGAUCAGCAUGCCGCGGUGAAUACGUUCCCGGGCCUUGUACACACCGCCCGUCGACACCAUGAGAGUUUGUAACACCCAAAGUCGGUGGGGUAACCUUUUAGA
This 1424-nucleotide ribosomal RNA is filed under the name Lactiplantibacillus plantarum. Its description in RNAcentral is "bacterial SSU rRNA". It matches the Rfam family "Bacterial small subunit ribosomal RNA". The record is from RNAcentral. Lineage: Bacteria; Bacillati; Bacillota; Bacilli; Lactobacillales; Lactobacillaceae.